AUUGAACGCUGGCGGAAUGCUUUACACAUGCAAGUCGAGCGGCAGCACGGGGGCAACCCUGGUGGCGAGCGGCGAACGGGUGAGUAAUACAUCGGAACAUGCCCAGUCGUGGGGGAUAACACUUCGAAAGAAGUGCUAAUACCGCAUACGUCCUGAGGGGGAAAGCGGGGGAUCGCAAGACCUCGCGCGAUUGGAGUGGCCGAUGUCAGAUUAGCUAGUUGGUGGGGUAAAGGCCUACCAAGGCAACGAUCUGUAGCUGGUCUGAGAGGAUGAUCAGCCACACUGGGACUGAGACACGGCCCAGACUCCUACGGGAGGCAGCAGUGGGGAAUUUUGGACAAUGGGGGCAACCCUGAUCCAGACAUUCCGCGUGAGUGAAGAAGGCCUUCGGGUUGUAAAGCUCUUUCGGCAGGAACGAAACGGUGAGCUCUAACAUAGCUUGCUAAUGACGGUACCUGAAGAAGAAGCACCGGCUAACUACGUG
This 484-nucleotide ribosomal RNA is filed under the name uncultured bacterium. RNAcentral's name for it is "partial 16S ribosomal RNA". It matches the Rfam family "Bacterial small subunit ribosomal RNA", at positions 30 to 507 of the family's 1533-position model. The record is from RNAcentral.